CCCUAUGGGGGGCAGCAGGCGCGAAACCUCUGCAAUAGGCGAAAGCUUGACAGGGUUACUCUGAGUGGUUUCCGCUAAGGAGAUCUUUUGACACCUCUAAAAAUGGUGUAGAAUAAGGGGUGGGCAAGUCUGGUGUCAGCCGCCGCGGUAAUACCAGCACCCCGAGUGGUCGGGACGAUUAUUGGGCCUAAAGCAUCCGUAGCCGGUCCUACAAGUCUUCCGUUAAAUCCACCUGCUUAACAGAUGGGGCUGCGGAAGAUACUAUAGGGCUAGGAGGCGGGAGAGGCAAGCGGUACUCAGUGGGUAGGGGUAAAAUCCUCUGAUCCAUUGAAGACCACCAGUGGCGAAGGCGGCUUGCCAGAACGCGCUCGACGGUGAGGGAUGAAAGCUGGGGGAGCAAACCGGAUUAGAUACCCGGGUAGUCUCAGCUGUAAACGAUGCAGACUCGGUGAUGGGUUGGCCUUGUGCCAACCCAGUGCCGCAGGGAAGCCGUUAAGUCUGCCGCCUGGGGAGUACGGUCGCAAGAACUGAAACUUAA
This 538-nucleotide ribosomal RNA is filed under the name uncultured crenarchaeote. Its description in RNAcentral is "bacterial SSU rRNA". It matches the Rfam family "Archaeal small subunit ribosomal RNA", at positions 321 to 859 of the family's 1478-position model. Lineage: Archaea; Thermoproteati; Thermoproteota. The record is from RNAcentral.